RNAcentral lists this ribosomal RNA (527 nucleotides) under uncultured bacterium. RNAcentral's name for it is "bacterial SSU rRNA". It matches the Rfam family "Bacterial small subunit ribosomal RNA", at positions 10 to 523 of the family's 1533-position model. The record is from RNAcentral.
AGUUUGAUCAUGGCUCAGGACGAACGCUGGCGGCGUGCUUAACACAUGCAAGUCGAGCGGAAAGGCUUCCUUCGGGAAGUACUCGAGCGGCGAACGGGUGAGUAACACGUGGAUAAUCAGCCUCUUGCUCUGGAAUACCCCGGGGAAACUCGGAUCAAUGCCAGAUAAAGUGCGGUGCUGUCGGGCGCCGUACCAAAGAUAGCUUCGGCCUUCGGCGAGAGACGAGUCCGCGGCCCAUUAGCUAGUUGGCGGGGUAAUGGCCCACCAAGGCUACGAUGGGUAGCUGGUCUGAGAGGAUGAUCAGCCACACUGGGACUGAGACACGGCCCAGACUCCUACGGGAGGCAGCAGUGGGGAAUCUUGCGCAAUGGGCGAAAGCCUGACGCAGCAACGCCGCGUGCGGGAAGACGGCCUUCGGGUUGUAAACCGCUUUCAGGGGAGACGAAGCUUCCAAGGUUAAUAGCUUUGUGGAGUGACGGUAUCUUCAGAAGAAGUCCCGGCUAACUACGUGCCAGCAGCCGCGGUAG